RNAcentral lists this non-coding RNA (23 nucleotides) under Arabidopsis thaliana (thale cress). Lineage: Eukaryota; Viridiplantae; Streptophyta; Magnoliopsida; Brassicales; Brassicaceae. The record is from RNAcentral.
GGCGUUAUUAGGCGGUGAGGUAG